Long non-coding RNA from Homo sapiens (human), 570 nucleotides. Lineage: Eukaryota; Metazoa; Chordata; Mammalia; Primates; Hominidae. The record is from Ensembl.
AGAAAACAAAGAAAAAUAAAACCCAGUUUAUGUGGAGGAUUUUAAAUCAAGGGAGAGACAGACACCAGUAAAACCCGAGCACAUUCUUCCUUGAGGGGCUGCUCCAGUGCCUGGACUCUCCUCUCAUGCCACAGGACAUCCCAACAUGACUUCAGAUUGCCCUAUUGCCUCAAACAUCAGCUGUAUGAUGAAGAUUCCCAAAUCCAUCCCCAAUUCCAAUCUCUCCUCUGAGUCAUAGAGCUGUAUAUGCAAACGCUCAACUGCACAUCCCAACUGGCUGCCCACUGGCACCUCCAACUCAAUCAAUGCAAAUGAAACUCAUCACCUUUCCUUCUCAUCCCCAACCCUGCAGCUCCACUUGUGCCUCUGGUCUCAAUGCAUAUCUGCCAGCCUCAUCCACUGCCAAAGCCUGAACUGGGCAUCAUAGGUGCCUGAGCUCCUGCACCCAUUCAUGCAAUCUCUCACCAAGCCCUGUCAUCGUCUACAUCUUUUGUGUCUUCCCCUCAGUGACUACCCUAAAUUGGGCCACCAACUAAUCUCCCUGGCUUCUGUUUUACUCUUUCAAUCUAU